UGUAAGCGUAUACCAAAGUUGUUGCAGUUAAAACGCUCGUAGUCGGAAUUUGGCAGUUCCGGAUGUGUGCACGUCGUGUGCGCACUUCGCGGGGAUUGCUUUUGUGGUCUUGCGUAGGAUGAGGCACUUUUAUUAGUGAACGUCCUCACGCAACCACUUUUUACUGUGAGAAAAUCAGAGUGCUCAAAGCAGGCAUUUGCCGUGAAUGUAUUAACAUGGAAUAAUAGAAUAGGACUUGGUUCUAUUUUGUUGGUUUGUUGGGACUGAGUAAUGAUUAAGAGGGACAGUUGGGGGCAUUUGUAUUUCGGUGCUAGAGGUGAAAUUCUUAGAUUACCGAAAGACAAACUGCUGCGAAAGCGUCUGCCAAGGAUGUCUUCAUUGA
This 382-nucleotide ribosomal RNA is filed under the name uncultured eukaryote. RNAcentral describes it as "partial 18S ribosomal RNA". It matches the Rfam family "Eukaryotic small subunit ribosomal RNA", at positions 592 to 976 of the family's 1831-position model. The record is from RNAcentral.